This 253-nucleotide ribosomal RNA is filed under the name uncultured bacterium. RNAcentral's name for it is "partial 16S ribosomal RNA". It matches the Rfam family "Bacterial small subunit ribosomal RNA", at positions 524 to 776 of the family's 1533-position model. The record is from RNAcentral.
UACGGAGGGUGCAAGCGUUGUUCGGAAUUAUUGGGCGUAAAGGGCGUGUAGGCGGGUAUGCAGGUCAGGUGUGAAAUCCCUCGGCUCAACCGAGGAAGUGCAUCUGAAACCGCGUAUCUUGAGUACGAGAGAGGCAGAUGGAAUUCCCAGUGUAGAGGUGAAAUUCAUAGAUAUUGGGAAGAACACCGGUGGCGAAAGCGGUCUGCUGGCUCGAUACUGACGCUGAGACGCGAAAGCGUGGGGAGCAAACAGG